GGGGCCGGGGCCGGGGUCGGGGCCGCCGGGGCCAUGCGCACGAGCUGGGCAGGGGGCCGGUGGGGCGCAGAGCGGAGCCGCCUCGGAGCCUGAGCCUCCCGGGGCCGGGGCCCGGGGAGCCGCGCGGGGCCGGCCGGCCGGGGGGGAGGGGAGCGAUGCGGCGCCGGCGGGUGGCGGUGGCCGCGGGUUUCUGCGCCUCCUUCCUGCUGGGCUCCGUCCUCAACGUGCUCUUCGCACCGGGCUCCGAGCCUCCGCGGCCAGGCCAGUCCCCAGGGCCCUCCCCAGCCCCGGGCCCGGGCCGUCGCGGGGGCCGCGGGGAGCUGGCCCGGCAGAUCCGAGCGCGCUACGAGGAGGUGCAGCGCUAUUCCCGUGGGGGCCCCGCGCCCGGGGCCGGCCGGCCGGAGCGGCGGCGCUUGAUGGACCUGGCUCCGGGCGGGCCGGGCCUGCAGCGUCCCCGGCCCCCGCGGGCCCGGCCCCUGCCCGACGGCGCCCCGGGCUGGCCCCCGGCUCCCGGACCGGGGUCUCCGGACCCGGUCCCGCGCCUGGGCUGCGCCGCGCUCCGCAACGUGUCCGGCACACAGUACGUGGGCUCCGGCUAUACCAAGGCCGUGUACCGGGUCCGCCUGCCCGGCGGCGCCGCGGUGGCGCUCAAGGCGGUGGACUUCAGCGGCCACGACCUGGGUAGCUGCGUGCGCGAGUUCGGGGCACGGAGGGGCUGCUAUCGGCUGGCGGCCCACAAGCUACUCAAGGAGAUGGUGCUGCUGGAGCGGCUGCGGCACCCCAACGUGCUGCAGCUCUAUGGCUACUGCUACCAGGACAGCGAGGACAUCCCGGACACCCUGACCACCAUCACAGAGCUGGGCGCCCCUGUGGAGAUGAUCCAGCUGCUACAGACGUCCUGGGAGGAUCGAUUCCGAAUCUGCCUGAGCCUGGGCCGCCUUCUCCACCACCUGGCCCACUCCCCGCUGGGCUCGGUCACUCUGCUGGACUUCCGCCCCCGGCAGUUCGUCUUGGUGGAUGGGGAGCUGAAGGUGACAGAUCUGGAUGACGCACGCGUGGAGGAGACACCGUGCUCGAGCAGCGCCGACUGCGUCCUCGAGUUUCCGGCCAGGAACUUCACUUUGCCCUGCUCAGCGCAGGGCUGGUGCGAGGGCAUGAAUGAGAAGCGCAACCUCUAUAAUGCCUACAGGUUUUUCUUCACAUACCUCCUUCCCCACAGUGCCCCCCCCUCACUGCGGCCUCUGCUGGAUAGCAUUGUCAACGCCACAGGUGAGCUCACGUGGGGGGUGGAUGAGACCCUGGCCCAGCUGGAGAAGGUGCUGCAUCUGUACCGGAGCGGCCAGUAUCUGCAGAACUCCACCGCGGGCAGCAGAGCUGAAGGCAGCCAAGCCCUCACCCCUGGGCACACAAAGUUCUCAUUUGAGCUCCGUUCCCCAACCCACAGAGUACCAGCGCCUGCCAGACAGCACCAUCCCCCAGGAAGACUACCGCUGCUGGCCCUCCUACCACCACGGAGGCUGCCUCCUCUCUGUGUUCAGCCUGGCUGAGGCCGUGGACGUCUGUGAGAGCCAUGCGCAGUGCCGGGCCUUUGUGGUCACCAACCAGACCACCUGGACAGGUCGGCAGCUGGUCUUUUUCAAGACAGGAUGGAGCCAUGUGGUCCCUGACCUCAACAAAACCACGUAUGUGAGGGCCUCUGGCUGACCUGUCUGCGGGCUCAGCUGACCAGCUGACCAUCCUCGCCGCUGGGCUUGCCUGUGGAGGGAGUGACUUGCACUAGCAGCACUGCAUGUCACCUAGGAGCCGCUGCAGACAAGGCUGACAUCCCAGACAGACCAAGGUGAACAGGACAAUGUGCAAUAAUGCCAAAUGUUGAAAUGUGAGUUUGCCAGUCUAAGUGUGGGACUGCUGGCUCCAGGGCGAGGGAUCCCUGGGGUGGGGAGCUGACCGCGUCUCCAACCCUCUGGGCUGCCAGCAAGUCUCGGGCUGGUCUUCCCUGGGGGCCCUGCCCCUCACUGGGACAGUUCCGUGGGCAGCUCCAUCACUGUGUUCGUAGUGUGAGAAUGUAGCCAAAGCCCCAACUGCUGCUGCUGCUGCUGUUGCUGCAGGUGUCAUGGCCUAGCAGGGGCUGUGUGAGGACAAUCGGUCAUGGAGUGUCCUCUCAGCUGAGCUCCGGACAGGAGACUGGACGGGAUGCUCCGGGAAGUCGAUGAUUCUGUACCUGGGGAGGCCGCCUCUGGCCACCUGACCAGGGUCUCUCAUACGCCAGCCCCGGGACAGGGGCUGUGGAGCACGCAUGGUAUGAGCCAAGACGUGGGGUCGAGGAGCAGGUUGCGUUUUGAGCCAGGACCUGGGGUGGGGGUGGGGCCGGGGCCUUUCUGCCUCAUUUGCUUUCAGUGAAAGCCGCAAAACAGCCAAAACCAGCCUCUCCCUCCUCCUGGAGUUUGUAUAUCCGGAAGCUUUUGUACUUCUUGUUCAUUAAAAUGUUUAUUUUUGUAAAAAAAAAAAGUCAAUUAAUAAAAUGACAUUUCACGGCAA
RNA transcript from Phyllostomus discolor (pale spear-nosed bat), 2538 nucleotides. It is a transcript of the gene named protein kinase domain containing, cytoplasmic, with no coding region annotated. The transcript is spliced from 7 exons. The record is from RefSeq and is a predicted model, not a curated record. NCBI's taxonomy places the organism in Eukaryota, Metazoa, Chordata, Mammalia, Chiroptera, Phyllostomidae.